GCCUGGGUGGUGUAAACGGUUAACACACUCAGCUACUAACUGAAAGGUUGGUGGUUCAAAUCCACUCAGGGGUG
This 74-nucleotide transfer RNA is filed under the name Loxodonta africana (African savanna elephant). It matches the Rfam family "tRNA". From Rfam's summary of the family: Transfer RNA (tRNA) molecules are approximately 80 nucleotides in length. Their secondary structure includes four short double-helical elements and three loops (D, anti-codon, and T loops). Lineage: Eukaryota; Metazoa; Chordata; Mammalia; Proboscidea; Elephantidae. The record is from Rfam by way of RNAcentral.